GGGGAAUCUAUUGUGUUUGGGAAACACACAAUACAGCAGAUGGAGAAGGAGUGGCCUGCCGAAGUGUGACCGUCUUUCAGGCAACUAAUAAAAAGCAGGUCAGUGGCAGCUGGCUGCAUUGACUCGUACGCCGGACAUGAGAAAAG
Hemicordylus capensis (graceful crag lizard) is the source of this 146-nucleotide long non-coding RNA. RefSeq lists it as uncharacterized. The record is from RefSeq and is a predicted model, not a curated record. NCBI's taxonomy places the organism in Eukaryota, Metazoa, Chordata, Lepidosauria, Squamata, Cordylidae. The transcript is spliced from 3 exons.